AAAAGUUUGAGGGCAUUUCAGUCAUUUCUUAGUAUCAAUGUACGUGCCCUUUUGUGCUAUUCCAGAUAUAGAUGGAGGUUUUUUGCUAUUACCACUUGUAUCUUUUCUUUCUCUCAAUGUAUGUAUUCUUAACAAAUAAGAAGACAGAAGAAAAUCCAUCAGAGAAGCGAUCCAUCACAAGGUAAAAAAUUUAUUUCUGAAUUUCGGAUUUGAAUUUGAUUCAAAGUUAUUGUGCUGAAUCCCUCAAAUCUCUUGAUUAACCCACAGAAGAAUCGGUAAUUCUCGAGCUAGGGUUUUGAUGGAUGAAUUUGGAAAAUUUUAUUGUUUUGUAUCUGUUUCUUCUUCUUUUUUUUGUUUUAAAUUCAUCAAAAAUAGAAUAAAUUAAUUACAGAUUUUCGAGUUAAGGUUUCGAUGGAUUAAAUUGGGGAGUUUUUUUUCGGAGAUGAAUUGAAAUCAAGAAAACAAAUUUAGUUUCUUUGACCUUUAUAUAUUUGAGGUACUUCAAAAUUUAGUUUUUUCGGAGAUGAAUUUUGAGAAACAGUCUCUCUGCCCUUUCGGGUAGGGGCCAGACGCCACUUUGUGGGACUAUACUGGACAGUUAUUGUUGUUGUUGUUGUUCAAAAUUCUGUGUUUACGGUCUAUCAAGAAUUCCAACCAAGGGAACAUGAUUAUACUUAUCAGAAUAGAUGACCUGCUUCAUUUUUAGGCGUUCUGUAAUGGGAUGAUGCUCCUUGAAUUUUCAUGAAUUUUCUUACAGUCAUUUUCUUUUUUUGCCCUGUAAUCUAUUGCAUGUGUUUGUAGUCUUAAAAGUUGCUUUGGUAAUCUGACUAUAUAAUGAUUGAUACGUUAUAUUUGUCAUUUGAUUUAUCAAAAUACCUCACAUUACUUUUAGUUGGUUUCAGAGGGUUUCUUGGGGAAGUAAAUCUAGCUUAUGUUUUUCAGAAGCUUCUUUUUCCUUUCUUUGAAGUUCUGUCAUUUAUAUUUGCUGGAUGCAAAAUUUUUCAUCUUCAAGAUGCAAUUUGUAAUGUUUUCCCUUUCAAAUACUUUGCAAUAAAAGAUUCCUUUAUGUCAACCUUUGUGUUGGUAAGAGGUAGUAAGUGUCCGGUGUGAAUAGUCAGGGUGCGCGAAGCUAGCCUAGACAUCACCGUUAAAAGAGUAACUAAUAACAAUCAUGCAUUAUAAUUACAUAUAAGAAUUACCUAUGCAACUAUCAGCUACUGUAUAGCAUUCUCUGCUUCGUUUGUCCAUCUUCUUAUCAAUGACGUAAGGAGUGUGUGCCUAACACUUCAGGAAUUGAGGAGUUCUUUUGCAUUACAAUUGAAUUAAUGCGAUAGCCAGAUUACAUGGCAGCAUUGACUGAUUGGAAAAGUAAUUUUCAUAGUACACAUAUUUCUUUUAUUGUCCUUAGUAUCAAGUACCACAUGUUUAUACAUCCAAACAUAGUUGUCGACUUGCUGUAUAGAUAGAUAAUAGUUUAGACCUGCUAGAGUUGCUUAAUUCGUAAUUUGAGAAAUCUCAAGAAUAAAUAUUUUUAAUCUGUGCAAAAAAGGAAGAGAGAAAGACAUUGAGAUCUUUUUUUCUCAAGAGGGUGGCCAUGAGGAAGUUUCCAUUUCUCUAUAUUCACAUUUAGAAAAAAAUUACAUGCAGACUUGCAGAUUGAUUGAUAUUUUACAUCAAUGCCUUCCCAUUUAAGGUUAGAAAGAUCAAUAAGUGGUUUGUGCUUUGAUCUGAAUCUUGCUGCAUAUUCUAGGUUUUUCUUAUGUGGGCUUUUGCUAUCCAGUGUAGUCGAUGCAAAAUAUUUGAAAUGUAAAUUAACGGAAUUACCUUUGUAGCUUGACUUGGUAGCUAUCUAUCUUUGAGAUUUCCUCUGUAAUUUAGGGGUUUUACAUCUUUGAAUUUGGGACAGGUUUUCAUCUUUUUGGAUUGACAUAAAUUAAAGGAAGUAUAUUUGUCAUUUGCAUCUAUCUAUCUAUCUAUCUAUCUCUGAACUUACAUUUGGGGCAAGUUUAAUCUCUUUAGAUUAUGAAUAUGUAUGUUGUACAAGUCCAAAUGUCUAACAUUUCUUGGUACAGUCACAGGACCUGAAGCGGAAAGAAAUGACUAUGUGAGGAGUGUCAUACUUCCUUGGCCAAUCCAAAAUCCUAAUUAGGUGUAAUCUUAACUUACUGAUAAUUGGUAAAAGAAAGGAGCUUUUCCGUUUUUCUCCAUGUUGGGUUGAUGGUUAAGUUGAGUCUUUAGGUUGGAAUAGGCGAGGUGGUGUGGUGGGGCAGCAGCUGAUACUGAGAAAGAGAAGUUGAUGGUUAUGGUGGUCGUUGGCCAGAUCUGGGAAUGAGAGUAGGUGGUGGUGAAGAUGGCUUGGCAAGUAGAAGAAAAUAGGUUGAAAAUAAGCUGCAGAAAAUGUCGUCGUCCAAUUCCGGUGAAAACUAUGAAUAUUUCGGUGGAAAAUAUUCAAUGUUGGCUUUACGCGCUGAUAAGAUGUAACAUACACGGGUAUUUACAUGUCAGCAAAACGUGCUCAAUAACACAUUUUGGAGGGAGUUCAAGUGUUCAAUAAGAAUAACUUUCAUUUGAGCUGCCUAAGUGAAAAUUAGUAACAAGUUUAAGGAUUUGUCUAUACUUUUCUUUUUCCUUUCUUUGAAGUUCUGUCAUUUAUAUUUGCUAGAUGCAAAAUUUUUCAUUUUCAAGAUGCAAUUUGUAAUGUUUUCCCUUUCAAAUACUUUGCAAUAAAAGAUUCCUUUAUGUCAACAUUUGAGAUCGCCACUCAACGAUAAUAUUGAAACUGGAGUGGCCGUCACUGAAGGUUAUUUGUGGCAACAUUUGAGAUCGCCACUCAA
This 2834-nucleotide long non-coding RNA is filed under the name Nicotiana benthamiana. Its description in RNAcentral is "long non-coding RNA (NBEN_LNC025329)". The record is from RNAcentral. Lineage: Eukaryota; Viridiplantae; Streptophyta; Magnoliopsida; Solanales; Solanaceae.